Molecule: non-coding RNA, 739 nt
Organism: Aegilops tauschii subsp. strangulata
Lineage: Eukaryota; Viridiplantae; Streptophyta; Magnoliopsida; Poales; Poaceae
Source: RefSeq, a predicted model, not a curated record
UUGCGAGCUGCUGGCGCGCCGUGUGCAGCCCCAGCGCCAACAAUAGCCCGAUCAUCCCAGCAGCCGAGGUAGCCAACCGGCUUGGCCUUUGCCCUCGCUGCGCCGCCGUCGAAGUGCGCGGCCGCGGUGGAGUAGCUCUACAGGGUGGCUACACGGAGGCUGGCAGAAGCUUGUGAAGAGCCAUGACUGUGAUCGAUAGCAGCAAUCGCGAUUUUGAAUUCUUCUUUUGUUUCCCUUUGAGUUGAUGGGGGCUAGAUGUACUUCAGACAAGGCUUCAACAAGGAAGAGCGGAAGACCACUAAUACUUUUUAGUAUUGGAUGAUGUAGUGUACUAUCUAUCUAUCCAUUCAAGAAAAUUGAUGGCGAUGGAAUCCGCGUGUGUGCGUGUGUGGCUGUGCCUCUGGUCGCUCGAUGGUUUUUCGGGUUCCGUAAAGUAAGAAACUGUUGGUCCUAUUCUGAAUUCUAAUAAUGUUGAUCACCAGGGAGAGGGAGAUCAGAGGACGGAUGGAAGGGAUGGCGACAACGUUAUAUUCGAAAGGGAAUAACGCUGGAAUACCUUGCUAUUGCUACCUGUCAGAGUGCAUAAUUAUGAAGUAAAUUACUCGGCACUGCUUAGUUACCAAACUUGACAGUUGCUAAGACCUUCUGUCGACAAGAUACACAAACAUACAAUUCCAUGGUACUAUGUAGAGUAUUCAAAGAGGUCAUCUUCAUGAAGCUAGCAGAGGAUAGACAUUAG